RNAcentral lists this long non-coding RNA (15266 nucleotides) under Gossypium barbadense (sea-island cotton). RNAcentral's name for it is "long non-coding RNA (GBAR_LNC011001)". Lineage: Eukaryota; Viridiplantae; Streptophyta; Magnoliopsida; Malvales; Malvaceae. The record is from RNAcentral.
UAAUAAAUGGUAUUAGAACUAGACACUAAACUAAUUUGGUGAAGAUCUUACUAUUGAAUUGUUGAGACAUGAAAGGAAGCUUGAUUUUUAGAUCCCUAUCCUCGAUUGCUCCAACUACGCAUUUUAAAAAACACACAUGAUUACAUUUAUUAGUUUCCUCGAUAAGAAGACAUGGAGGACAGUGCUUACUAGUUGAGAUCCACCGGCAAUUGAAGUUGACGGUGUAAGGACAUCCAAGCCAUAGACUACCUAUAUUAUUAAGAUAAGGUAGGCAACUUCAACUCCAAGACGUUAAAUGUCGUCUUUAAUGGAGUAGAGCUCCAGGAAUUAAAGAGACUAUUGUUGUAGGCCAAUUUUGGCCCAAAUACAACCAAAUACUCACCCCAAUUUCAUCAGCCCAACAUCAUCAAACCCAAUCUAAACCAACAGCCCACCUAAACUAACCUACUAAACAUUUUCCAGCAAAGAAAAAACACUAGCCACCUCCCCACUUUCCUCUGACACCAGCCACCAUCACCUGCUCCACCAGUCACCCCCAUACCCUGCAAAAACAGAGCAAACAAGCAAGACGGGAAAAUAUGGCAAAAGUAAUAAAAAAAUUUGUAAAAGAUUACUAUAAAAAGCCAUUCAAAAAUGCUGUAAAAAGGGGGGUUUAUUUUUUUUUAAAAGAAAGAUUGUAACACAGAUAUUGGAAAUAAAAACGGAUACAAAAACAAAAAAAGAGAAGGAAGGUUCAAGAGGUUUAGUUUUGUUCUUCUUUUUUUUUUCCCUUUUUUCUUCUUUUUGUUCUCUGCUUACCUUGUUUUUUUCAUAUUUAUUCAUUGUUUUUUUUUCCUUUUCUUUUUUCAAGAAAACCUUUUUUUAACAAAGAAACAUAAAAAAUUUUAAAGUAGGCGUACCUAGGUUGCGCUCCUUCGCUGUACACGGCGGUCACCGCCGUCGUCGUUGGCGAUAGGGCGGGUCUCUAAGGAACCCAAUCGACAGAAAGAAAAAGGGGGAGGGGAAGAGAGCAUGGAAGUUUUUUUGUUUUUUUAAGAUUGGGGGUUGAAAAUGAAACACAAAAAAAAAUCUUUGUUUUUAAAUAAUGGUGUUGAAACGGCAUUAUUUUGUUUGGUGGGUGGGGUCUGUACACUUUCUCUAAAAGGGAAAUUUAUGCGUUUAGUCCUACUCUCUCGCAACCUCAUUCAAUUAACCCACAUUUUCUAUAUUCUUUUGUUUUUUAAAUUUGGCCCUCAGAUCUUGUUUGGUUUUCGUUUUGAUCCCUAAUUAAUUAUCCAAUAUUUAUACUUUUAUAUCCCGAAUUUUAAUUUGUUUUUAGCCAUGUCCUAAAUCUAUUUAAUUUAUUUAUUAACCUUUUUUUUAAAAUGUUUCAUUUAUAUGUUAUUUCAAAUAUUUUAUAUGUUGUUUAUUUACAUCAUUAUUGUAAAUAUUUUAUAUACAUAUUUUUUUGUACAUUUCCUAAUAUUUUCUUUUAUUGUAGAUAUUAUUAUUAUAUACUCUUAUUAUAUGCAUAUAUAUGAAGUAUCUUUUAUGUACAUAUUAUUUUAUAUUAUUAUUACCAAAUAUAUCAUUUUUUCUUAUUAUUAGUACAUGAUUUGUUUUUAUUUUCUUUUUUUGCAAAUGUCAUUAUUAUUGUUAUAAUAAUUUCUAGUAUUCCAUGUUAAAAUUUUUCAUUAAUGAUAUCAUUGUUUGCGUCGUUUAUCUAUUUUUAAAUUCUCACUUUAGAAAUAUUUUUUUCUUAUGUUUUAAUUAAUUUCAAUAAAUAAAGCAACGCGCCGAUUUAACAUUAAGUCGUAGAUUUCAUCGCUAUGUUGGGUGGAAUUUGUCAGCUCGUGCUAAAGACGGAACACCCUUCUAAAAAACCAAAAAAAAUAAAAACUAAAAUUUUUCGUCUUUUCAAUCGGAUCACGAUUAAAUAUUACAUUGAACUCGCAUUUUUGAAAAUCAAGACAACACGUGUUUAUAAGAUACCAAUUUUGGGCGUCGCGAGGGUGCUAAUACCUUCCCCGCGCGUAACCGACUCUCGAACCUUAUUUUUCUCUGGACUUUUGACGUAGACCUAAACUCGGCCUUCCUUUUGUUUUAAAAAAUAAAUCUAAUAGGUGUCCGAUCACACCUAGGAAAAAGGAUCGAUGGCGACUCCCUCUUUAUUUUAAAAUCAAACUUCAGUUUUCAAGUUUUCAAUAAAUCGCCACAAUUAGCGACCAAAUCUAAACAUUUUUACGUCGCUACAGCUGGCGACUCCGCUGGGGACUUCUAUUUUUGAGAGUCGAGUUGAAUUAAACGCGUGUUGUCAAAAUUUUCAAAUUUCCGUAUUCAAAUUAAUAUUUAAUCAUGAUCCUUAAGUUUUGUUUUCGAAAAAAAUCAUACAUACAUAUCUCCUAAUUUGUUUUAUCUUUUGUUUUUCAGCUUUAAGUUUUACAGUUUUAGUUUUGUAGUUUUAAAAUAAAUGAAAGGUUUGCAAGUUUCUCCCUACGCACCGUGCACUUGCAUUUCGCAUAACAUGAGCUCUCAACCCGGGCCCCGUCCGUUUAAGUGAAAGUAAACGCUACGCCUUCGUGGGUUAACUCGUCCCUCCGCACAGGCUAGUGAAUACUUUCGGGUUACAUACAACUUAUGCUUUCGUGAGUUAACUUGUCCCUCCGCAUAGGCAUAAGUAAAUGUAAUCCCUCGAAUUGAACUCGUGUGAUGGGCUAUGACCGAGGCUUCGUACUAAUCUUAGCAGAUGACAGUACGGACAAUUCGAGUACCUAUCUAGAACCAAAACCGCAUAUAAUGAACCAUACGAGCCACCUAACUAGAGCCAUGCUAAACCUCCAUCCGUUUAGUAGUCACCAAAAUAAGCGCACGGGAGGAACGCCUCUUGCCUUUUGCAUUUUCACUGUCUAUACGAAGGGGAUUGAGUCUGUUUAAUAAACUAGAUUUGGGUAAUUUGAUUCGUUCAAUUUUUCAUAUUUUUUCUGUCUGUAUUUAAUUACUAAUCAAGAUUAUUUGUCUUUGCCGUAUUGUUUUUCAUCAUGCAUUAUAGGCAUCAUAUUAGAAAGGUGUUGACUAAAGAUCGGUUGCCAAAAAAUGGGUUUUUAAUGGAAGAGUCAAUUAUACAAACAACCGAGGAAAAUGCCGUAGUCCGAGAUUGGUCUCUAAAAACUCAGAAAGAAAAAGGGGAUAGUCUAGUGGAGGGAUGUAUUGCCAAUUUGCCCGAGCACGUAACUGUAAAUGUUCGCCAGAAUAACCUUGAAGAUUUGGUUCGGGUUUGGAAUCAGUGGGACUCGGAUACUAGAGGUAUCUUCGCCGAGAGAUAUGGAGACAUAGCCAACUUGAUUGCUGUCAGCGUAGACGAACGAUUGAUCCAAGCCAUGGUUAGAUUUUGGGAUCCAGCCUACCACUGUUUUACUUUCAAUCAGGAAGACAUGACCUCGACUAUAGAAGAGUACACUGCUUUGCUCCGUGUCGAUAAUAUACAACCUUAUAAGAUAUAUGUGCAAGAGCCUAAGCCAAUGACCUUCAAGAAAAAGUUAGUAAGAGUGACAGACAUGACUGACGCGUGGCUCGAAAAAUAGAUAAAGAAGAAGAAUGAAACCAUUUGUAUCUCAUGGUCUUCCCUACGAGACUUGGUUCUAAACCAUCCCGACAUGUUGAAAAGGGUAAAUCUGUUCGCUCUGGCCAUUUACGGUUUGAUCAUCUUCCCGAAGGUCCUUGGACACAUAGAAGUUGCGGUGGUAGAUUUCUUCGAAAGAUUAAAACAAGGAAUCAACCCCGUCCCAACUAUCCUGGCCAAAACCUUCAGAUCACUAAGUAGCUGUAGGAAGAAAGGGGAAGGCCGAUUUAUCGGAUGCGCGCAGUUACUUAAUGUUUGGAUUCUGAGUCACUUCUGGAAAGUAGAGCGCGCACCGUUCCAUAUGUUUUCUAAAACAUUCUCCCCGUUAGAAGCUUAUCUCAAGAAAGAAUGGCCGAAGGAGAUCACUGAACAACACUGGGUCUCAGUCUUUUAGAAUCUUCGCGCCGAUGACGUAACUUGGAGAGCCCCGUGGAUACGCCCGUUAGUUCUGCUAUACAAGGUCAGAGAUCAAGAUUGGGUGCCACUACUCGGAUUAUGGGGAGGAGUCGGAUAUGCCCCAUUAUUAGUCCAAAGGCAAUUUUCUUCGCGGCAAUUCAUACCCGCCACUGGCGGAUUGGCACAAUCCGAGUUCGCUUUCGCGGGUGAAGGAUAUAUGAAGAAGGUCUGAGACAAUGCAAAAUCUUAGAAGAAAAUUCAUCUAAUGGAAUUGGCCUUAUAUGCUGAUACCCUAACUCAAGAUUACGACAUAUGGAGGAAGCAACGGAUAAAUAGUCAGCAGAUUUCAUUAACAACUCCACCGUCCAGAAUCCUUUCUCAGAGGAAAUGCCGUCUGAGCUAGAAAUAGCAAGACAAGAAUUUGAACGAGAAAAGGCCAAGAUGUCUCGGGACCUUAAUGGCCUUCAAGAAGAAAACUACCAAUUGAAGAUUGACAUUCAGAUUGAAAGAUCCAAAAUCGAGAAAGUGCAAAAAGAAGUUGAAGUCGUGAGAAAUGACUUAAGAGACCUCCAUCUGGAAAAUAAAAAGUUAAGAGGCACAAUGAAAAAUAGUGGGCUGGGCAAGUCAUCGGCAGAAUGGAAAGAGGAGAUAAGCAACAUUAAAGGAGGGAUGGAAUUUUGGAAAGGAAAAGCAAAGAAAGAGGAAGAAAAGGCUGCACAGGCUAUGAUAGAAUUGAGGAAGAAGAACGCCGAAUAUGAAGUAGUGUCUGCCGAGGUGAUGACUAGUCGAUCUAAACGUCAAGAACUAAAAGAAAGGAUACGAGAGUUAGAAGAUAUGCUGCAAGAUCGUCAACAACAGUUAGAUACUCUCUUGAAGGCUUUGGAAGAAAAAGAUUGUCAGUAUGAUAGAGACAUUCGUGCUUGCGAAGAGGGCCUCCAGGAAAAAAAAGGCAACUUAGCUAUUUGAUCAAUAAAGUUCGUGGGGUAGCCAUGCACGUGGUACAAUUAUCGGAAGAAGCUAAAAAUCUCAGUUACCAAUUCCCACCAAGCCAACGAUCGAGCAUAUCGAAAUUCCUAGAGCGAAUAAAGAAAUAUGGCGAUAUAGCUAGAAAGUUUGUGUAAUAGCUGAAUCAAAAAUGGCAAAAUGUUUUGUAAUGAACUCUUUUGAUGAAUGAAAUGCCUAAAUAGGGGCUAUCUUGAAAUCAACACCAAUUCCUUACAUGUCAUUCAUGACUAAUAUCCAUUUGACAUUCAAGCAUUCAUGCAUUUAUUCAUUCAUUCAUGGCAUAUCCCGUACUCAUUUGCUGAGGUUAAAAUGUACAAUUCGCAGUUGUAAUACUUCAAAUCUGGAACCACGCCACUCGUAUAGAACGCGUCGGCAAACUAGAACAAUGGAGGCUGAAUUCAAUGAAAGGAUUGAAAGAAUGGAAAGAAUCCAAAAGGAAUUACAAGAGCAGUUGGCUAGGUCACAGCAAGAGACGAGAGACUUAAUGGUGAGAUCACAAGAAGAAUCGCUCGAACAGAAGGAUCAAAUGGCCAAGAUGAUGGAGAUGAUGUCAGCUUUAGUUAAAAGAAAUGGACCCAUGCAGAGCCCUGACAUCGAGGAAUCUUGGUCAAGAGUUAAUCACAAUCAAGACUCGCUCUAUCCCCCUGGAUUCACUCCACCACACGCCCGCGCAGCACAAAGAGGAUACACCCAAGGAGAACCCACAGACCCAGAGCAACGGUCGGUGCCACAUACUCAUUUAGGGCAAGGAAUAUUCAUAUCAAAUUCUGGAGCUAAUCCCGCCAAUCCAAUUGUUCCAGAUUUGGACGAUCUAGCGGAAAUAGCCAGGUUGAGAACGGACGAUCAUGAGGCUUAAGAGAAGUAUAUGAGCUUAGAGGAAAGACUCAAAGCAAUAGAGGGUACUGAAGCUUUCUCUGCACUAAGUGCCAAAGAGCUCAAUUUGGUGCCCGAUCUAGUUCUGCCUCUGAAGUUCAAGGUGCUUGAUUUCGAAAAAUACGAUGGCACGAGAUGUCCAAAGGCGUAUCUUGUCAUGUUUUACCGAAAAAUAACUGGUUACGUGAAUGAAGACCAACUACUCAUACAUUGUUUUCAGGACAGUCUAGUAGGAUUGGCUCUUCGGUGGUACAACCAGCUUAGUAGGGAAAGGAUCCGAUCUUGGAAAGACUUGGCAUCAGUAUUCUGUGAGCAAUACAAGCAUGUAUCGGAUAUGGUACCAGACCGAAUGACUUUUCAAAUGAUGGAGAAAAAGCAGUCAGAAACUUUUAGACAGUAUGCGCAGAGAUGGAGGGAUGUCUCAGCCCAAGUGGAACCCCCAUUAACGAAAACGGAGAUAACCGUUCUUUUCAUCAACACUUUGAAAGCACCGUUUUAUGAUAAACUAGUGGGAAGUGCCACGAAAGACUUUGCGGAUAUUGUAAUAUCCGGUGAGCUUAUAGAGAAUACCGUUAAGAGCGGUAGAAUGGAAGGUCAAGAAAGUUCAAGAAGGGCAGCGCCCAUGAAGAAGAAAGAACCAGAAGCCUACAUGGUGGGAAUGGGAAGCCGUUAUGCCCCUAACCUUUAUUCAAACCAACCCCGACCUCAAAAUUAUCCUCCUCUGAAUUUCUAUUAUCCUCCUCAAACCCCUUACUACCGAGCACCACCUCCUUUCUACCCCGUAUAUGCCAUGAACAACCAAAGGCCCGUCACUACAUUCCCACAAAAUACAAUACCCGCCCAAGGUCAACCCAAAAAUGAGCAGAGGCCAGCAAAACCCUAUUCUGAGAAACCACAAUUUACCCCUAUUCCUGUGUCAUAUGGGGAGCUGUACCCAAAAAUUUUGGAGAAGCAAUUAAUAUCCCCGCAUUAUAUGGCACCCUUGAGGCCCCCAUACCCGAAAUGGUACGACCCAAACACUAGUUGUGCAUACUAUGCAGGAAACCAGGGACAUUCGACGGAAAAUUGCCUAGCCUUUAAGAGGAGAGUUCAAGGACUAAUUGAUGCGGAUAUCCUACGAUUUGAUAGUGCCUGUAAUGCAACUGGGAACCCGUUCCCUAACCAUACUGAAGGAAAUGUGAGCACAGUGGGGAAAGAAGAUGAAUGGCAAGUUAGAAGAUGUGUUUCAGAAAUAAAGACGCCUCUGCAGAAAAUCUGGGAGGCACUGGUUAAGAAUAGAUUGCUCUGUCACCUCGACGAUAAUCUCAAAAAAGAAUGUCAGGUUUUUUGUGAUUUUCAUGGAAUUGUAGGGCACGGCAUUCAAUCAUGUGAGGAAUUUAAAAGGUUAUUGCAAGACCGGAUAGAUAAUAAGGAGAUUGUGUUCAUUAAUCAAGGAGAGGCCAAUGAGAAAGAAGUAUGUGCCUCUGACAAUCAAUCGUCAAGUUGUCCGUAUAGCGCCGAUCGACCAUUCGUAAUUUAUUACGAUGCAAGGAAGGAACCGGUGAAACCAAAAAUGAUGAUUGAAGUACCGUCUCAUUUCCCUUACAAGGACAAUAAAUCAGUACCGUGGAAAUAACGUUAAUAUCGUCACACCUGAAGAUGAAAAACCCAAUGCCAUGACUGGAGGCGUCGGGGAAGUAGGUCAUUUCACUUGUAGUGGAAGAUGUUAUUCGAAGGAGGUGAAGAAGAACAGUGACUUGAAACAGAAAGGAAAAGCACCGAUGCACAUGACCAAAGAAAAGCAUGAAACUGUGCCUGAACAAGAAGCUAAAAAGCCUAUGGACGAGGAGGAAGCACAGGAAUUUUUAAAAUUUAUCAAGCACAGUGAGUACAACGUGGUAGAACAAUUAAGUAAGCAGCCAGCACGAAUCUCGGUAUUAUCUCUGCUGUUGAAUUCAGAACCAUACCGGAACGCUCUGCUGAAAAUGUUAAAUCAAGCUUAUGUGGCAAACAAUGUAUCCGUUGAAAAAUGGAUAGAUGGAUGAACAACUUGAAUGCGGAUAAUUUCAUUUCCUUUAGUGACGAUGAAAUAUCGCCCAAUGGUAGAGGCUCAGUGAAAGCAUUGCAUAUCACAACCCGUUGUAAGGGCUAUAUAAUAUCGAACGUGCUCAUCGAUAAUGGAUCGGCACUCAAUGUCAUGCCUUUGGCCACACUUUCCAAGAUUCCGAUGGAUUUGUCCUAUCUAAGGCCCUGCCAUUCUACAGUAAGGGCAUUCAAUGGAACAAGACGAGAAGUUAUGGGAAAACUCGAGAUCCCUCUAGAAGUGGGUCCCUACAUAUACAAUAUUGAGUUUCAAGUCAUGGACAUUACACCAUCAUACAAUUGUCUCUUGGGAAGACCUUGGAUCCAUUCUGCUGGAGCAGUACCAUCAUCCCUCCAUCAAAAGGUGAAAUUUAUCAUGGAUGGUUGUUUGGUCACUGUCUAGGGAGAAGAAGACAUUGUCGCAUCUAUCUCUGCUGAUGCACCCUACCUCGAAGUAAGCAAAGACGCAGUAGAAUGUUCCUUCCGAUCCAUUGAAUUCGUCAAUGCCACAUUCGUCGCUGAGGGAAAUAGAAUUCCCGCGCCAAAACUAUCGAGAAAUACCAAGAUGGGUGUCAAAUUGACUGUAGCAAAGGGAGCCCGAGCAAGGAAAGGUUUGGGAAGGUACCUGCAAGGAAUAGUCAGGGCUCUAAAGCAAGUACACCACAAGGCCCGAUACGAUUUAGGGUUCCAGUCGGACAUGCGUCAAAGAAGAAAGCAGUGGAAGUAAGAUCAGGAAAGAAGGAUCGCAAGAACACUAGGCCGAGAACCAGAAUGAGAGCCCAUGGAAUUCCCUCCUUUGUCAAGAAUAUUUACGUCUACAGGAAUGAUAUACCCAGGGCAGUAUAGUGCACAAAGCACAAUGUUAAUGAUCGAAGAGGGUUUUCAGAAUAUCAGUAUAAAUGUCAUUGACAAAGGAGCUGACGCGAGUAAAGACAUCUCAAAGAUACGCCCUUGUCCCCCGGGUUUCAUGUUAAACAAUUGGACUGCCCAGGAUCUUCUUGUAGUUUAUAAGUCUUCAGAGUAAUGCUCAAACGUUAACAUUCUGUUAUGUCCUCAGAUAUAAUAGAAUUCUUUUUGUAAGAGCUUGUAUUCGCUCUUUAUCAUUUAAAUGAAUAUCAAUGAAGAUGCAUUUUGUCACGAUUUUUUCGCAUUAUCACUAAUUCCAUAAUCAUUUUGUAGCCUAUCUUUACAAUUGCCUCACGUCAUACCAUAACAUUCAGUUUGUUGAUUUCAAUACUUAGAUGCCCCUCUAUAGUUUCCUUUUCCAUUCAACUUUCAGGUGCUCAGAUAUCAACAGCAUGAAUAAACCCGUUACGAGUUCUGAAAUCGAUUUUGAGAAGGCUAUUUGUUUAGGAGAAUUUGAAGUCGAAAAAAAUGCUGAAGACUAUGUCUCGUCUCCUGACUUGCUAAGAAUGGUGGAACAAGAGGAUAAAUAGAUUUUGCCUCAUCAAGAAUCUGUUGAAACAAUAAAUCUGGGAACUGAAGAAAGGAAGCAAGAAGUGAAGAUUGGGACUUCUAUUUCAGGGGGCAGCAGGCAUAAUUUGAUUGCUUUGCUCCGCGAGUACAAAGAUGUAUUCUCAUGGUCAUAUCAGGACAUGCCAGGAUUGGAAGAAGAUGUAGCGGUCUAUAAGCUCCCAUUGAAGCCAGAAUGUAAGCCUAUUCAACAAAAGCUAAGACGGAUAAGACUUGAGAUGUUGUUGAAGAUAAAAGGGGAAGUCAAGAAGCAAUUUGAUGUUGGUUUCCUACAAGCCUCCAAAUAUCCAGAAUGGGCGGCUAACAUAGUCCUGGUACCAAAGAAAGACGACAAAGUGCGAAUGUGCGUGGAUUAUCGUGACCUGAAUCGAGCAAGUCCUAAAUAUAAUUUUCCCUUACCACACAUUGAUACGUUGGUGGAUAACACAGCAAAACAUUCAUUGUUUUCUUUCAUGGACGGAUUCUCGGGGUAUAAUCAGAUCAAGAUGGCCCCUGAGGAUAUGGAGAAAACUACCUUCGUAACAAUGUGGGGAACAUUCUGCUACAAGGUGAUGCCAUUUGGGUUAAAGAAUGCUGGGGCAACAUAUCAGAGGGCUAUGGUGACGUUAUUCCAUGACAUGAUGCAUAAAGAAAUAGAGGUCUACGUCGACGAUAUGAUUGCUAAAUCCCGAGGGGAAGAAGAGCAUGUAGUGAACCUGAAGAAAUUGUUUGACAGACUGAGAAAAUUCCAACUAAAGCUCAAUCCGGCCAAAUGUAUGUUUGGGGCUACCUCUGGAAAAUUGCUGGGCUUCAUUGUCAGUGAAAGAGGUAUCGAGGUUGAUCCAGAUAAAAUAAAAGCUAUUCAAGAGUUACCACCUCCGCGCACGCCAAAGGAAGUCAGAGGAUUUUUAGGGAGGUUAAACUACAUCGCCCGAUUUAUCGCUCAACUUACCAACCAAUGCGACCCAAUCUUUCGACUCCUUCGAAAACAUAAUCUCGGAGAAUGGAACGAGGAGUGCCAAGUGGCUUUUGACAAGAUAAAACAGUAUUUGUCUAAUCCUCCAGUGCUAGUACCGCCAAUGCCGGGAAGACCAUUGAUAUUGUAUUUGACUGUGUUCGAGAAUUCAAUGGGUUGCGUACUGGGGCAACACAACGAGUCAGGAAAGAAAGAAAAGGCGAUCUACUACUUCAGCAAAAAGUUUACUGAAUAUGAGGCAAAGUAUUCGUCCAUAGAUUACUGCAACGCUCUGGUUUGGGUAGCUCGGAGACUCAGACAAUAUAUGUUGUAUCAUACGACAUGGCUAAUUUCAAAGUUGGACCCAAUAAGGUACAUGAUGGAAUCACCUGCACUCUCAGGAAGAAUGGCACGAUGGCAGAUCUUACUAUCAGAAUAUGACAUCAUCUAUGUGAGCCAAAAGUCGAUAAAAGGGAGUGCAAUAGCUGACUUCUUAGCAACUCGAACAACGAAGGAAUAUGAGCCAUUGAAAUUUGAUUUCUCAGAUGAAGACUUAAUAUGCAUUACAGAAAAAGAAUGUGAGUCAUCAAAAGAAAAGUCAUGGGGAUGAGCUUUGACGGUGCAUCGAAUGCAUUGGGGCAUGGGAUUGGAGCAGUCUUAGUAUCACAAGAAGGGAACCAUUAUCCGUUCACUGCCAGGCUGAAUUUCUUCUGUACCAAUAACAUAGCAGAAUAUGAAGCUUGUAUCAUGGGACUUCGUGCAGCAAUUGAACAAAACAUCCAAACUUUAGAGGUAUACGGAGACUCAGCAUUAGUGAUUUAUCAGAUCCGUGGAGAUUGGGAAGUGAGGGAUUCAAAAUUAGUCAAAUACAGUGAUCUCGUGGCAGGGUUGAUUAAAGAAUUCAAAGAAAUAACUUUUAAUUACUUUCCACGAGAAGAAAACCAAUUAGCUGAUGCCCUGGCCACUUUGGCUUCAAUGUUUAAAGCAAACAGAGAAACAGAAAUAAUGCCUCUUCAAAUGAGUAUAUAUGAAGCCCCUACAUAUUGUUUCAGCAUUGAGAAAGAGCCAGAUGGGCAGCCAUGGUUCCAUGAUAUCUUAGAAUACAUCAAGAAUCAAAGGUAUCCCGAGCAAGCAAAUAUGAACGACAGAAGAACAAUCAGAAGAAUGGCAGCGGAUGGGGACAUCCUAUACAAAAGAGGAAAAGAUCAGGUGCUCUUGAGAUGCGUGGAUACAGUUGAAGCCAGAAAAAUACUUAAAGAUGUCCAUGAAGGAAUUUGCGGGACACAUGCCAAUGGUUUCACUAUGGCCAGGAAGAUUAUAAGACUCGAAUAUUACUGGCUGUCGAUAGAAAGCGACUGCAUUAAUUUCGCACGAAAAUGCCACAAAUGUCAAAUUUAUAGUGAUAAAAUUCAUGUAGCCCCUUUGCCCCUUCACGUCAUGACUUCUCCGUGGCCUUUUUCUAUGUGGGGCAUGGACGUUAUAGGGCCUAUUUCCCCAAAAGCUUCCAAUGGACACCGGUUCAUUUUUAUGGUCAUUGAUUACUUCACAAAAUGGAUAGAAGCUACAUCGCUUGCCAAUGUGACGAAGACUGCGGUUUGCAGGUUUUUGAAAAAGGAAAUCAUUUGUAAAUAUGGUUUUCCUAAAAGAAUCAUUUCAGAUAACGCCUUAAAUUUGAACAACAAGAUGAUGAAAGAAGUGUGUGAGCAAUUCCAAAUAAAGCAUCAUAACUCCUCGCCCUAUCGCACAAAGAUGAAUGGAGCGGCCAACAAGAAUAUUAAGAAGAUUAUUGGGAAAAUGAUUGAGACAUAUAAAGACUAGCACGAGAAGCUACCAUUUGCUUUGUAUGCAUAUCGCACAUCUGUACGGACAUCUACGGGGGCAACUCCUUUCUCUCUGGUCUAUGCAUUGGAAGCUGUGCUACCUAUCGAAGUUGAGAUCCCCUCUCUACGAGUCUUAAUGGAGUCGAAAUUAGAGGAAGUAGAAUGGGUUCGAGCUCGAUAUGACCAGUUAAACCUCAUCGAAGAAAAACGUCUAAAGGCAAUUUGUCAUGGAAAAAUGUACCAGAAGAGAAUGACCGCGGCUCAUGACAAGAAAAUACGGCCAAGAGAAUUCCAAGAAGGAGAACUCGUGCUGAGAAAGAUUCUCCCAAUACAAAGAGACCUGCGAGGAAAAUGGGCACCGAAUUGGGAAGGACCAUACGUCGUAAAGAAGGCAUUCUCGGGUGGAGCUUUGAUUCUCACCGAGAUGGAUGGGAAGGAGUUACCGAGUCCAGUGAACUCAGAUGCUGUAAAGAAAUAUUAUGCUUGAAAAAGGAAACCAAGAUAAAAACCCGAAAAGGGCGUCUUAAAAAAAAAGAGAGAGAAAAAAGGGAUCAAGGUGAAAACCCGAAAAGGGCGUCUUGAUUAAACACAAAAGAUUAGGAUGAAAACUCAAAAGGGCAUUCUAAUGAAGCAAACCCGGGCUUAAAGAACAAGGCGUUUUGAACGGUGGGUCAAAUAGUGAGACUACAGUAUUUGAAGCAUUUCUGAAAGCUCGAAAUCUUCUACGCAAGAAGCCAUGCUCGAAAAGAUUCUUGAUUGAGAAACGUGGAAAAUUUCAUGCAUUAAAUAUCUAGAGCAUUUGUAUUCGUUGAAUGCAAUCCCUUUUCUCUUUAUGACACUUUUUUACUAUUAUUGGUUAACUUUCUUUGUUUACUACAUUUGAAAUGAAUAAAUACGAGGUAUCCUUUUGUCCCUACCUGACCAUUUUUUUCAUGCAUCUCAUUAUGUGGUCCGUUUACAUGAUAAAUAGUGAAAUGACAUACUCUAAACAAAAGAAAUAUUAAGCAUUACCCGGGUAAGAAUUUGAUAAGUACAAGAGCCUCAACGCAAGGACAAAAACUCAACCAGGGGCAAAAGAGCGAUAUCUGGGAAAUAUAGAUUAUUCGUGAAGCUUGAGGACAGGUACAGAACCUGAAGAGAAAGUCAAGAGUUGAAACAAUGAACACAUAUCAUCAAAAAUUGUGACGAAAAAGGGAUAUAUGACAGACAUGCCUAAAGCUCAUAUCAUAAUCAUGUAGGCAUAAAUGCAUUUAAGACAAACAUGUGCAUAUCAUGAUGACAUCAUGCAUGACAUAUACAGGUACUCCAGUAGAGUAAAAGGAUGUGAUGAUAGCUGAAAAGACACAUGAAUUCCACCAGAUGACAUGUUUUGGUAUUCUGAUGUUUUAUUUCUGUUUUUCAAAAAUCAACUCAUAUUGCGAGAGGUGAGUUGAGCCUCAGGACAUGCUGAGGUAAUUUCAAUUUCUGUUUUCUUCAAUUUAUGUUUUUCAAAAAUCAGCUCAUAUUACGAGAGGUGAGUUGAGCCUCAGGGCACACUGAGGUAUUUUCAAUUUCUGCUUUUCAAUUUCUGCUUUUCAAAAAAAUCAACUCAUAUUGCGAGAGGUGAGUUGAGCCUCAGGACACACUGAGGUAAUUUCAAUUUAUGUUUGUCAAAAAAAAAUCAACUCAUAUUGCGAGAAGUGAGUUGAGCCUCAGGGCACACUGAGGUAUUUUCGAUUUCUGCUUUCCAAUUUCUGCUCUUCAAAAAAAUCAACUCAUAUUGUGAGAGGUGAGUUGAGCCUCAGGACACGCUGAGGUAAUUUCAAUUUCUGUUUGUCAAAAAUCAACUCAUAUCGCGAGAGGUGAGUUGAGCCUCGGCUCACAUGCUGAGGUCUUUUCAAUUUCUAUUUUUCAAUUUCUGUUCGUCAAAAUCAACUCAUAUUGCGAGAGGUGAGUUGAGCCUCGAGGCACGCUGAGGUAUUUUCAAUUAAUGUUUUUUCAAUUUAUGCUUUUCAAAAAUCAACUCAUAUUACGAGAGGUGAGUUGAGCCUCGGGUCACAUGCCAAGGUAUUUCCAAAAUCUGUUUGGCAAAUUCUGUUUUCAAAAAUCAACUCAUAUUGCGAGAAGUGAGUUGAGCCUUUGCUCACGUGCUGAGCUAUUUUUCAAUUUCUGUUUUUAAUGUCUAGUUUUUAAAAGUCAAUUCAUAUUGCGAGAAAUGAGUUGAGCUCAGGAUCACACACUGAGUAAAGAACAAAGAUUGGAGCCGAUUGAAGGCACCAGAUUUUGUCUCCCUGAAGUUGUAGUGGAGCUGGUCGAGGAUAUCAGAUCUUGCCUUUCAGAAGUGGCAGAAGAGAAGACCAAAACCUUAUCUCACGGAAGCAAUAGAAGAGAAGAUUGAAGUUGUAGAUCUUAUCCUUCUGAAGUUACAGUGAAGCAGAUGGAAGCCACAAAUCUCAUAUCCUUGAAACUACAUUGAAGUAGAUUGAAGCUACAAGGCCCAUAUCAGAAGAUACAAUGAACUGAACCAAAGCUACAAGAUGCGAUGGACUAGUAAGAGACUGCCCGGAAAAGAAGAGCGCCAAAGAAGUCAACAAUUGGCAAGACCGGGCGAAAUUGGCCUUUCAUUAUGUCUUUGCUCUAUUCCCGUUACACGAUAAUGAGCAAAGAGGGGCAGCUGUUGUAGGCCAAUUUUGGCCCAAAUACAACCAAAUACCCACCCCAAUUUCAUCAGCCCAACAUCAUCAAACCCAAUCUAAACCAACAGCCCACCUAAACUAACCUACUAAACAUUUUCCAGCAAAGAAAAAAACCUUAGCCACCUCCCCACUUUCCUCUGACACCAGCCACCAUCACCUGCUCCACCAGUCACCCCCAUAUCCUGCAAAAACAGAGCAAACAAGCAAGACGGGAAAAUAUGGCAAAAGUAAUAAAAAAACUUGUAAAAGAUUGCUAUAAAAAGCCAUUCAAAAAUGUUGUAAAAAGGGGGGUUUAUUUUUUUUAAAAGAAAGAUUGUAACACAGAUAUUGGAAAUAAAAACGGAUACGAAAACAAAAAAGAGAAUGAAGGUUCAAGAGGUUUAGUUUUGUUCUUUUCUUUUCCUUUUUUCUUCUUUUUGUUCUCUGCUUAC